AGUUGUCAUCUUUGAUUUGAAUUUAGGAAAAAGGUCAAUAAUAUAUGGAAGAGGCUCAACUUUUGCCAAGUGUCAAUGUUACUUCAUCAUACAACACAACCUUAUUACUUAUUACACCACACAUCCUGUGAGAGUUGCGCCAUGUUUUAUUCACCACUGUUUUUCACACACACAAAAGAUUAUAAGGGGUAUCACGCCUAAUAUGUAACAUCUCCCUUCUGGAAACCCCUCCUUGUGGCAUGCCUCAGCACAUGGACCCGGCUUGCAUAAAGGGAUGGUAUAGCUCUGGCUGUAUACUCUACAUAUCUUGGCCUGUGAGCCUACAAAACAACAAAGAAAAUAUGGUAUAUUAAAAAAAUUAGAUCCUAUGAUGUUCAAUUGAGAAACAACAUAUAAAUAUUUGCAUGGAGUAUGAAUUUCACUGAUUUCUUACAAAGAUAAAAAAUGCAUUCCAUAAGUGCUUUGUUCUUCAUAUAAAAUUUUGAGAAAAUGCUUACCAGGAACUAAAAGAAGUGGAAUGAGUAGUAGAAGGAAUGUCAUAGUUGGCACCUUGACGCGUCCCGUGUCUUCAAGAAUAAACAGUCACAAAGGCAAAGCAAUAUAAGAAAGAGGCACAACAAAAUAGGCUACACCAAAAUAUAUAGGAUGGAAAGAUG
Molecule: long non-coding RNA, 656 nt
Filed under: Triticum aestivum (bread wheat)
Lineage: Eukaryota; Viridiplantae; Streptophyta; Magnoliopsida; Poales; Poaceae
Description: long non-coding RNA (TAES_LNC024476)
Source: RNAcentral